GGAUCCAGACUUUGAUUCUGGCUCAGGAUGAACGCUGGCGGCGUGCUUAACACAUGCAAGUCGAACGAAGCACUUUAUUUGAUUUCCUUCGGGACUGAUUAUUUUGUGACUGAGUGGCGGACGGGUGAGUAACGCGUGGGUAACCUGCCUUGUACAGGGGGAUAACAGUUGGAAACGGCUGCUAAUACCGCAUAAGCGCACGGCAUCGCAUGAUGCAGUGUGAAAAACUCCGGUGGCAUAAGAUGGACCCGCGUUGGAUUAGCUAGUUGGUGAGGUAACGGCCCACCAAGGCGACGAUCCAUAGCCGACCUGAGAGGGUGACCGGCCACAUUGGGACUGAGACACGGCCCAAACUCCUACGGGAGGCAGCAGUGGGGAAUAUUGCACAAUGGGCGAAAGCCUGAUGCAGCGACGCCGCGUGAGCGAAGAAGUAUUUCGGUAUGUAAAGCUCUAUCAGCAGGGAAGAUAAUGACGGUACCUGACUAAGAAGCACCGGCUAAAUACGUGCCAGCAGCCGCGGUAAUACGUAUGGUGCAAGCGUUAUCCGGAUUUACUGGGUGUAAAGGGAGCGCAGGCGGUGCGGCAAGUCUGAUGUGAAAGCCCGGGGCUCAACCCCGGUACUGCAUUGGAAACUGUCGUACUAGAGUGUCGGAGGGGUAAGCGGAAUUCCUAGUGUAGCGGUGAAAUACGUAGAUAUUAGGAGGAACACCAGUGGCGAAGGCGGCUUACUGGACGAUAACUGACGCUGAGGCUCGAAAGCGUGGGGAGCAAACAGGAUUAGAUACCCUGGUAGUCCACGCCGU
RNAcentral lists this ribosomal RNA (803 nucleotides) under uncultured bacterium. RNAcentral's name for it is "bacterial SSU rRNA". It matches the Rfam family "Bacterial small subunit ribosomal RNA", at positions 1 to 803 of the family's 1533-position model. The record is from RNAcentral. RNAcentral also lists the same sequence under 1 other name.